RNAcentral lists this ribosomal RNA (68 nucleotides) under Allium paniculatum. Its description in RNAcentral is "partial large subunit ribosomal RNA". Lineage: Eukaryota; Viridiplantae; Streptophyta; Magnoliopsida; Asparagales; Amaryllidaceae. The record is from RNAcentral.
CAUGACCCCAGAUCAGACGGGACCACCCGCUGAGUUUAAGCAUAUCAAUAAGGGGGGGGGAAAAAAGA